RNAcentral lists this long non-coding RNA (201 nucleotides) under Hordeum vulgare. Its description in RNAcentral is "long non-coding RNA (HVUL_LNC015586)". The record is from RNAcentral. Lineage: Eukaryota; Viridiplantae; Streptophyta; Magnoliopsida; Poales; Poaceae.
AGAGAGCUAGACAAACCCAAAAGCUCACAAACCUUAGUUUGUUGCAUGGGCUGAUUUCAAACACAUGAGCUUGUGCAACAACAUCAACAAGGGAAGAAAAUAACAGCAGUUUCUCAGACUUAGUGAAAAUCACAGAUUUUCAAAAAGGUGGCAAUUUCAGCCAAGUGUCAACUUUGACAAGGCACAACAAGUUGAUACAAC